RNAcentral lists this unclassified non-coding RNA (391 nucleotides) under soil metagenome. RNAcentral describes it as "partial contains 5.8S ribosomal RNA, internal transcribed spacer 2, and large subunit ribosomal RNA". The stretch from base 1 to 122 matches the Rfam family "5.8S ribosomal RNA", at positions 35 to 154 of the family's 154-position model. The record is from RNAcentral.
GAUGAAGAACGCAGCGAAAUGCGAUACUUGGUGUGAAUUGCAGAAUCCCGUGAACCAUCGAGUCUUUGAACGCAAGUUGCGCCCGAAGCCAUUAGGCCGAGGGCACGCCUGCCUGGGCGUCACACGUCGUUGCCCCCCCAUCUACUCCUUCGGGAUUGCGGGGGGCGGAUGAUGGCCUCCCGUGCGCCUCGUCGCGCGGUUGGCAUAAAUGCCAAGUCCUCGGCGACGCACGCCACGACAAUCGGUGGUUGCGAAACCUCGGUUGCCCGUCGUGUGCGGUCGUCGCGCAUCGAGGGCUCGAAAAAAUUGCCGGGCUCCGGCUCGGCUUUCAACGCGACCCCAGGUCAGGCGGGGUUACCCGUUGAAUUUAAGCAUAUCAAUAAGCGGAGGA